CUUAUACUCCGGAAAUAGAAAACGUGAAGAUAUUGUCUUACUGGUCCAUGGCAGAUCACAGGUGGCAGCAGAUGGAUAUGAAAACUAAAAAAGGGAAGCAGAGCUGUUGAGUGUCUUUUAUUCAAUUCCUAGACUCAUGAUGCUUUGAUUUCCGCACUACCUCCAUCUUUUGGAUGACUUGUCACGUCCAAUCUUGCUAGGUAAGUUGUGACUCCUCAUCAAUUGUCCCUGGUUUACUUUCUUACUUAUUUGUUGUAGCUAAUCCCUCACUGUGCUCCUGUCCUUCUGUCUCGCGAAUUAGCUGUGCUACUGUGUCGUACAGUUAUUUGAUUGUCUCCGUCUGCCCUCCUCGGUAUUCCCCCCCCCUGUACCAGUUCCUCUGCAGAUGUGUCUUCCUUGUUUGUUUUGCUAACCGGUUCCUUUGGUCGUCAACAGCAGUAGGCGCUGUGGCUUAGUUGGUUAAAGUGCCUGUCUAGUAAACAGGAGAUCCUGGGUUCGAAUCCCAGCAGUGCCUUUUUGUUUUGGUGGUGCCGUAGUGCAGCUGCCUUACACGCUGGAGGUGCUGGGUUUGAAUCCCGGGAAGAACCACGUGCUUGGCGCCUCCAAGAGGCGGUCUUUCACAACAGAUCUGACCGUUUUUUAUGAAACAUCCCAGAAAAAUUUCUUUCAGAAAAUUCGGCGUACUUUUGCGGCUGGCCCGCGUACCAUGGCUUCCUUGAACUUUUGUCAUCUUUCCUUGGUUCCGGUCUGUCAUUCAAAGACUAUCACUCAACCGACCAUCUGACCGUUUAUGUGUAUACGUAUGUGUGUACAACUGUAGUACCUUUGUUCCGUGCUUCUCUGCCUCUUCCUUUGUAAAUUCAGUUAAAGCUAAUUGCUUCCAGCAGGCUUUUCUCUUGGCCCGUCACGUUGCUCUCUGUCAUGUGAUGACAGUGUGCGGGCUUCUUAUUGGGAUCCUGGACACUGCAGCCUGGCACACCACACUAGAAGAGUUUAACCCAAGCUACCAGGUCUAUUGCUACAGCAACCAUGACAUCCUGAGCGGUGUAGUGAGACGAGAAAGUUCACCAUUUACAGCUCGAGGAGAGAUUUACUAAAUGGCUGAAGAAGUUUUAAUUUCCUCUCCUGGGAAGAUUACUGCGGUGAGUAGGUGCCGUUGUUAGCUUACUGCAAACAGAGCCAGCAGCUACGAGAAUGCAAACUUGCGAAUUAUUAUUUGUCAUUGGCGGUUUCGUAUACUAUUGGUUGUUGUUUAAUGAAUUUGAUGGAAUUGACCGGUUGUGUGUUGUGUAAAAGUUGUAGGCGUUUAAUACAGUUCAACAUCUUAAAAUCUGUUGACUGUUGAUUUUUUUUUUUUUAAAUAAGGUCUUGACCGUAACGUGACACCAAACCAUGAAGAGUUAACUUUUUUGAGAUAAUUAAAGUAUAACACGAAACCAGAGCUGGCUAUGAUGGAAAACAUGUGAUACAAAUUGUUAAUUGUAAAUUGUUAAUGAAUAUUUUUGCUCCAACAAAGUGUGUAAUGUUGAGAGAAAAUUGUCUUAUUUGAUAUCACUUUAUUUUCAAAAAAUCUCACAUUUAAAGCCUUGUUUUUUUUUUCCUGUAAUGCUGUGCUGAUGUAAUAUGCAGAGUAAUCCUUGUGCUUUAGGUCAACAACAGAAAAAAACAAAACAGUUUGCUUAACGUUUGGAGUUCAAGAGUAAAGCAGACGAUGGCGUUGAGAGGAAACCUAAAGCUCAAAGUAAAAGGAAAUUAUAAAAUAAAAACAUUAUAUUAAAUAUAUGAAAUUAAUGUUAUUAAACAUCUAAAAUAAGUGAAGAUCUGGAACGUGAUUUUUUUUUUAAAUAUUCUGUUUCACACGUCAGACUGCAGUGCAACCUUGAGAAAUAAGAUUGAUUUUUAGUUGCACAACAUUUGUUCACGACCCCAUGAUAAAAAUGAAAAAAAUAACUGGAACACAUUUUGGUUUCGAUUUCUUGUCUUCUGUUAAUUUUUCAAAUUUUUUAGACAAUUCCAUUACGCUUUUUGCCCCCUCCAAACCGGUUUAGCCACUCUGUUUAUUCUGCUACGUUGUUACCUAUAAAUGUUCCCCAAGGAUCAUUCCUGGGGCCCCUGCAUUUCAUCCCAUUCUACCUCCCAUUGGCUUCUGCAUGUAUAACAUUUAUUUUCAUUGCUAUGCAGAUGACACCCAGCUCGCUUUCCAGCGAACCUGAAUUCUUACACACUUUGACAAAAGUCUCACCAAGCUUGAAUCCUAGUUUAUCUCCAAUUUCCUCAAAUUAAACAGUGAAAAAUGAAUGGCUCCUAUUCAAAAUCAAAAUCAACAUAUAUAUAUACAUACACUGUGUAUAUUUACACUAGGUGGGGAAGCUCAAACAAGUUGGGAACAACCUUAGCAGUGCUUUGUAGUGAUCCAAGAAAGCUCCAAGAUUGCUUACUUGUUUGUGAUAUGUCAUGGUAAGAUUAACUGUGAGGAAUUGCGAAGUGGUGCGACGACCCUAAUGCAACACUAAAAACACCACCUGAACACUACCUCGCUACCUCACGAGUCAAG
This is a long non-coding RNA of Cynoglossus semilaevis (tongue sole), 2554 nucleotides long. RefSeq lists it as uncharacterized. The transcript has 4 exons. NCBI's taxonomy places the organism in Eukaryota, Metazoa, Chordata, Actinopteri, Pleuronectiformes, Cynoglossidae. The record is from RefSeq and is a predicted model, not a curated record.